Molecule: transfer RNA, 58 nt
Filed under: Streptocarpus baudertii
Lineage: Eukaryota; Viridiplantae; Streptophyta; Magnoliopsida; Lamiales; Gesneriaceae
Also listed under: 6 other names
Description: partial tRNA-Leu
Source: RNAcentral
UACGGACUAAAAUCCGUCGACUUUAAAAAUCGUGAGGGUUCAAGUCCCUCUAUCCCCA